UAUAACUGAGGAAUCUCACAAAUACUUCCCCAGGCACCGAAGGAGGCAUUGCCACGUCGUGGGGCCGACUCACUCUGGUUUGUCGGUCAGGGUCUGGACCUCCUCCAAGACAGCCAUGGGUAAUGUCCUGCUUCAUGCUGAGAGGUCGUUGCUGCGCCUGCCCGAGCUCUACAUAUCCCUCGGUUAAGGGUGGGUACGGCUGAUCAAUUUCAAUUACAGUGAAUAUAAAAACGAGGGAUUUACGCGGCCUGCUUAAAUCAUUCGAGAAAGCAUGAAAAUGACCCUCCAAAGGACGCUUCUUGCCAGGUCUCUGUGACCUGACUUGCCUGGUGCUGUGAACCUCGGAGCUGUCUACACUUAUCAAGAGGACAUGUGUGCGGGCAAUAGUACAAUUCAGCAUUAUGACAUUCUUCGAACUAGCCUAAUGGUUUUGGAUGGAUAACAAAAUUGAAGAGCCAUAAUAUUAAAAAUCCCAGCUUGCUGGAUUGAUGGAGCAAUGUGCAGAGAGACAGAAAGAAAACUAUUUCAAGUGCUCUGGUAUGAGGUUGGAAGGCCAGUUGGAUUGUGUAUCAUACUGGUCAUGCUAAAGACAGCAGCUGCAAAAUUACAGUAGCGUGCUCUCACCACAACUGACUGCGCUACACAGAAACAAUUAAUCAGAGGUUAACCCGACAAACCUCAUGGAGGAUCUUUAAUUUGUUGUACCUAAACUCCCCCUGAAAAAAAGACAGAGCACAGCAAAGCUUUUUCUAAAAGGACAAGAAGUGAUGUCAUCUGCUUGAUCAGAGUGGGGCUGCAGAGACACGAGGAAGCCCACCAUGGUUGUCCCACUCAUCUCUCCCAUACUCUCAUUGAUCGCAAUUGUACGUCAUCAAUUCUUCCAGAGGUACAAUCAAUCAGCGAGGCACUGAACUAACUACUCUGGAUACUGGAUACAAAACCAAACCAAAAGUGUGAAGCAGGGAAAUUUCUUGGCUGGAAUCAGGGGAAUUCGCUUCCAAAUAAGGAGUUCCUAUCUGUGGAGGUAACUAGAGAGUAUGUCAGCUCCAGUUUGGAUUUAGCCUCUUAUGAAGACUUCAGAUGCCCCAAUACCUGUGAAGAGAUGACUCCAACCCCUGUGAGGACUUCAGAUGAUGAAUCAACAUGCACCAAUGCUAAAUUUUCUAUAUAUUGUAAUCAUUAUGUUCACAAUCUGCCUAAAAUUAAAACAUUAUGUUAGCCAACUGCAUGAUUUGUAUGUAUAUUUCUGAAAAACAUUACUUGGACACAGUCACCUCUGAUAAAAGAUCACUCUAAAUUGUAAUGUAGUCACGUACAUUUUC
This is a long non-coding RNA of Ctenopharyngodon idella (grass carp), 1322 nucleotides long. RefSeq lists it as uncharacterized. The record is from RefSeq and is a predicted model, not a curated record. The transcript has 4 exons. Lineage: Eukaryota; Metazoa; Chordata; Actinopteri; Cypriniformes; Xenocyprididae.